GAUUCUGGCUCAGGAUGAACGCUAGCUACAGGCUUAACACAUGCAAGUCGAGGGGCAGCAUUGGAGUAGCAAUACUUCAGAUGGCGACCGGCGCACGGGUGAGUAACACGUAUCCAACCUGCCGCUUACUCGGGGAUAGCCUUUCGAAAGAAAGAUUAAUACCCGAUGGUAUAAAGAGUUCGCAUGUUCUCUUUAUUAAAGAAUUUCGGUAAGCGAUGGGGAUGCGUUCCAUUAGAUAGUUGGCGGGGUAACGGCCCACCAAGUCUACGAUGGAUAGGGGUUCUGAGAGGAAGGUCCCCCACAUUGGAACUGAGACACGGUCCAAACUCCUACGGGAGGCAGCAGUGAGGAAUAUUGGUCAAUGGACGAGAGUCUGAACCAGCCAAAAGUAGCGUGAAGGAUGACUGCCCUAUGGGUUGUAAACUUCUUUUAUAAGGGAAUAAAGUGAGGGACGUGUCCCUUUUUGUAUGUACCUUAUGAAUAAGGAUCGGCUAACUCCGUGCCAGCCGCCGC
Molecule: ribosomal RNA, 513 nt
Filed under: uncultured bacterium
Lineage: Bacteria
Description: bacterial SSU rRNA
Rfam family: Bacterial small subunit ribosomal RNA
Source: RNAcentral